Pseudopipra pipra is the source of this 917-nucleotide long non-coding RNA. RefSeq lists it as uncharacterized. The transcript is spliced from 3 exons. NCBI's taxonomy places the organism in Eukaryota, Metazoa, Chordata, Aves, Passeriformes, Pipridae. The record is from RefSeq and is a predicted model, not a curated record.
CAACCCUACAUGCCCGGCGUUACUCAGACAUGCCUGCAGGAUUACGUCCAAAACACACAGGUGACUGAAAAUUAAUUUUUAAGAGAAAUUAAAACUUAAAAGCCACAGCCAGAUCUGAGAAUGGUGAAGCCAACACUUAUUACGGUUCUACUAGAUAGAGCAAGCCAACUUAUGCAGCCGGUUCUCUCACUCAAAGCGCAGGGAAUAAACCUACACUUUCUCACAGAGUUAUUAAAAGAAAACCCAGAAAACCAACGCCAAAAGUUAGAAGCAGGGGGACGGCAGGGAAGAAGAGCUGGAGAGUCAAUGGAUGUUUCCUACUCAGCCUAAGAAGUUGUGGCUAAACAGUAAUAUGUAUGUUUUAUCACCAGCCCAAGCAGAUUUAAUGAUUCCAAACAACACGGGUCCUACUGCAUCUCCUGCUAUACCAUGAAUAAGGAAAGUUUACAGUUGGAUGGCUGUGUGCACUCCUAAGCACUUGAUUACAGGAGGACAUUGAUAAACCAGAAGAAGUUUAAGAGAUUCCAGCUGUGAGCAAUGGAAAUGAAAAAAAGUCUCUGAUAAAAACAGUAAGGCACAAAUUCUCUUCAGAAAGAUGGAAAGAACUAGAUAUGAACAGAAAAGAAAGCUGGUGAAAAAUUAUAUGACAGAAGAAAAAAUAUUGGAGCAAACAAGACAAAUAAAAGUCAUGAGAUAAAAAGAAUUCUUUACCUAAUAAAUAUGCAGAAUGGCCAAAACUUCUUACAUGAAGUACAAAACACAAGGUGAUGAAUCAGAACUAAGCUACCAAAGAGACAGGACAUUUCCAGAAUCUGUAGGUUUAAAUUCUCUGAGUUGUGUCCUGAGGCUUCCUGCCUUUGCUUCCUGACUUAAGACCAUAGUUGGCAAAUGUUUAGACAAGCAAGUCUCUUAAUGUU